AUCCAAGUUUUCUAAAUCUGAUGAGGUCAUAUCCGGUGCCACGGAACCCCUCGAUGUUACAUAAUCCAAGCACUGGAAGUUUGCUGAUUUGGCAACAGAUGGCGUUAAGCAUUACUGUUAAUCCACAUGACUUGCAUCCUUCUACUGUUUAUAAUUGGCGCAUUUCGCCCAACAAAUGGCAUGAAGAGGUACCGUUGAUAACUUGUGACGUGCUAGAUGGAACCAGGUGCAUCAGAAAUAAAGUCAAGCC
Molecule: long non-coding RNA, 250 nt
Filed under: Elaeis guineensis (African oil palm)
Lineage: Eukaryota; Viridiplantae; Streptophyta; Magnoliopsida; Arecales; Arecaceae
Description: long non-coding RNA (EGUI_LNC016122)
Source: RNAcentral